Molecule: long non-coding RNA, 3179 nt
Organism: Vidua chalybeata
Lineage: Eukaryota; Metazoa; Chordata; Aves; Passeriformes; Viduidae
Exons: 14
Source: RefSeq, a predicted model, not a curated record
UAUCGUGUUCCUGGUAGUCCCAGUGGUUCUUAAAAGUGAUAGGGCAAGGGGGAAUGAAUUCACAAAGAUAUAUGACAGAGUUAGGUGGGAUAUUGGCAAGAAAACUCUCCCUUGUAAGAGCAGUGAGGCCCUGGCACAGGUUGCCCAGAGAAUCUGUGGCUGCUCCAUUGCUGGCAAUGUUCUAAGAUCGGAUCUAGUGGAGCUGAUCUAGUGGAAGGUGCCUGCUGAUGGCAGAGGGUGGAACUAGAUGGGCUUUAAAUUCCCUUUCAACCCAAAACAUUCCGUGAUUCCACGAUAAAACACGGAGAUGGAUGUGAGCCUUCACUCACAGAAUGUGCAAGAGCAGGGAUGAUCUUGAGCGGGUGCCUUGUGAAGGUUUUGGGUGGUCAAUUCUAUGUGCAGGGACCAUAGGACUUUCUAACAGUAGAAAAUUAACUAUUUCUGCUCUUCUAAGCCAUGAACUUGAAGUCAGAUAUUCUUGUCAUGGUACUGCUUUCAAUCGUGCUGUAAAAAUAAUUUUUUGAGGUUCUUGCAUGGAGUUUUUAUCUGAACAUAAAUAGCAUGAAGGAUUGCUCCAGGGAGGAAAAAAUACUUUUGGCUCCUUCUUUUUAAGAGCUGGGCUGUUGCCUGUGCUUAGGGCGUUCUGGUAGAUCUUUUUUUGCAGAAUUUCUGGUUUAUUCUGUGAGUAACUCUGGCCAUUAAUCAAGAAGUACAUAAAUUAACAUUGUGGGAUUUUGUUUUUUAAAAUUGUAUUAAGGCACUUCUACAGCCUGUGUUUAGACACGCACAGCGCUAUGCUGUGAGGGAUCCAGGCACAAACAGGGAAUUUUGGCAUCAAUUUGGAAAGUAACGCAAUAGAGAUUUCCAAAGGUGUUCCAAGUCAAAGGAAUGGCUGGGCACAAGUGGUUUGAGCUUGGCAGGAUUCCCAGCAGGACCAAUGCAAGAUCUCCAGGUGUGGAGAUUUUAAAUUUUAGUCCUACAUUAGUAACAAUUCCACAGCUGGAAGUUUUAUUGAAAUCUGCCUGAGAAGGAUUGUAGGAGCAAAUUGCUUGAAAUGGCAGGGUUUAGGAUGGGUUCAGGGAAUGAAGAAACAGAUGAUGAGAGGAUCAAGGAGAAGACGAGUUUAUUAAAACUCAGAAUAUGAUAGCAGAGGUACAAAAAUUACAUUACUGAGCAUAAUGGGGAAUUAAAACAAUCCAGAUGUUGCAGACUAUGAUGAACUAUGGGAAGAAAUACAUCCUAAGGAUUGAGGCAACGUGAGGACAGCCAGCCACUGUAGCUGCAAACAUGAUUUUAAUAACUCAGGAAAGGCACAAAGGAGCAGUCUGGGAAGUGUCUGCCCUUCAUCUGUGCACACGGAGAUGCCUGCCUGCAAAUGGAGGUGCUGACCCAGUCUCCAGUGCUCAGAACAUCUCCCAUGUCCUGCAUUUGGGGAAUGAGGAACAAACAGAUUUGAAGGAUGAACAGACAAUCCAGUCAACUCUUCUAAGCAGACUGGGAAUUCUGCUUCUGCAACGGCAGGGACAAGAAUGAACUCAGUAGAUUUUGGAUAUGACAAAGUGGGCAGUUUUUGUGUUCUUCCUUGAGCUGCUUUGGCCUGAAUCCUAAUUGAUGUCUGUGAUGCUGUUUUGGAGUUUGGAAAGAUUAUUGAAAUAGGAACUGUAGUACCUGUGUCCUUGGCUGAUCAAACAAAGCAAUGCUAGAAGUGCCCAAUGCACUUUAAUUUUUUAUAAUAACAACUCAGUAGGAUUGUUCCAAUCCAGCUGGAGAAAGAAGCUUCAGGAGCCUUGCAGAACUAAGUGUCCUCUACAGCUCACCAGGAAGGACUGUAAGGACUCUUCUCAAGUUACAGACUACAAGAAGCAAGGAAGGGUUGAUGUCUUAUUUUUCACUGGGAUGACUGGAACAGAGAAAUUUUAACUGAGAUGACAAAGCUAUUUAAGUGUAUCAUUCUGAGCAGUAACUUAAGGUUCUGAAGGAUCUGGAUCCAAACAAUUUGCUCAAGAUCACGUUGAAAUUGUCUAUCAGAGUGUGAGGUCUGACUUCCCUGCAUCUGGACGCCCAUUUCUUGCUGAAGACAGGUAUUGCUGGAUCCAGGAGAGGAUGUUUGCAGAGUCUGUAACUUUGCACAUUUCCAUUCUGCCUGAGCCUCCCUUCAGCUCUCUGCGGUUGAGAAGUCAAGAAAAAAGCUGCUGUUGGCAGAAUUUGCUCUUGUGCUGAGAAUUGGCCUGAGGAGCUCAAGGGUGUGUUUUGGUGAGGUUUGCUUCAGACAGAGGCUUGAAAGCAGCUUUUCUCACACCCUGAUGACAACUGGAUGCACCUUACUCUCCCUUAGACCUUUAGAAGUAUUCAGGCUUGUGUGUUUCUGUACAAUCUCUUACAACCUAACAGGAAAGCCGAGGGUGAAGUUAUAUGAUACAGUUGAGCUGACCUAACAUCUUGCCCUGCUGUUGAAAGAGGCAGUUCUGCUCCUCCCCACUUCUCACUCCACAGUAUCAUGAUUAUCCCAUUCUCAACCUCCAUUUACUCAGUUUGAUCAUCCUAAUCAGUCUCCUUUAUGGGAUUCUCAGGCAGGACUGAGAAAUUUAGGGUUAUGUCUGACCCCUGAAGUCUGUCUGGUUUGAGCCAGUGACAAUUUUCAAGCAGUUCCCCCAGCUCAUUCUUGCAAGACAAUCUCUUCAUAUGUCUGCAGUGUCAGAUAUUGGAUUUAUUCUGAAAAAAUCCCUACAGUGUUCUGUCCUUUAGAGGAAGAGCAAGCUCCUUGGACUGAGGGUGUGAAGAGCAAAAGCUCACACAAACAGAGAACAGAACAGCUGCUUUCUUUAAAGAUGUGCCCCACAACUGAAAACCCCAGCUGUAAUUCUGAUAUGCAGAGGAGGAAGGUGACAGGGAACAGGAGGAACCAAUGGAUCCUGCCAACAGGAUCCCACCUCAUGAAGGACCCAAAAUGGCUCCAGCAAAAGAUGUAGCCUUGACCAGCUUCUACCAGGCUUCCCUCCUUGUGCCACAGCUUGGAAAGGACUGUGUGUGACUGGUGACAUCUACACCAAAAGGGAGCUUCCUUUCCAUGUCUUGGAAAUCAAAAAAUUGCCAUAAGAGGAUUUAUGAGAGAAGAAUGUCCAUAAAGCCUGAUUUGUGAAGUGUUAAAAUGAUGUCCUGGAAAGCCACACAAUGCCAAG